GGGGAAGGGUCACGCGUUAUGCGCGUCCUUUUUAUUAUUGGACAUCUAUAAUACUCCUACCACAUUACAAAUUAUCCUCAUAUUCUUCCCACUGAACUUCACCUUAAAAGGAGGCACAUCGAAGCUGCAAGAACCAAAUCCAUCAUCAUGACGAAGACUCUCCCCAUGGCCAUGGCCAACAUCUUCAUCUGUUUCGUUCUGCUAUCAUCGCUCAUCGCUUCGCCUCUGGAGUCCGCAAGGAUCGUCCACGAGCACCGCGCCCACGUCGCUGCAGGUGAGGAGACGCGUGAUCGCCAUCUACCCGACGACCUUGGGGAAAUCAAGAGAGCGCAGCCCCACCAAUUCGCGCCGCCGGCGCCGCAAGCGAACGAGCAACGCUACCCCCCGAUCUGGCAUGAUGGAUCCCCCUCUGUCUAACUGUCUGUGCAAACCUGAUGGAAAAAUAAUAGUAAUAUGAGAAUUCUGUGCUUCAAAUGAUGUGUCCUGUAUGAUUCUCUUA
This is a long non-coding RNA of Triticum dicoccoides, 499 nucleotides long. RefSeq lists it as uncharacterized. The transcript has 2 exons. Lineage: Eukaryota; Viridiplantae; Streptophyta; Magnoliopsida; Poales; Poaceae. The record is from RefSeq and is a predicted model, not a curated record.